UACGUAGGGACCAAGCGUUGUUCGGAUUUACUGGGCGUAAAGGGCGCGUAGGCGGCUUGACAGGUCACUUGUGAAAUCUCCGGGCUUAACUCGGAACGGCCAAGUGAAACUGUCAUGCUAGAGUGCAGAAGGGGCAAUCGGAAUUCUUGGUGUAGCGGUGAAAUGCGUAGAUAUCAAGAGGAACACCUGAGGUGAAGACGGGUUGCUGGGCUGACACUGACGCUGAGGCGCGAAAGCCAGGGGAGCAAACGGG
This 253-nucleotide ribosomal RNA is filed under the name uncultured bacterium. RNAcentral describes it as "partial 16S ribosomal RNA". It matches the Rfam family "Bacterial small subunit ribosomal RNA", at positions 524 to 776 of the family's 1533-position model. The record is from RNAcentral.